Molecule: ribosomal RNA, 253 nt
Filed under: uncultured bacterium
Lineage: Bacteria
Description: partial 16S ribosomal RNA
Rfam family: Bacterial small subunit ribosomal RNA
Source: RNAcentral
GACGUAGGGCGCGAGCGUUGUCCGGAUUUAUUGGGCGUAAAGAGCUCGUAGGCGGCUCAUUGCGUCAACCGUGAAAACCAGCAGCUCAACUGUUGGCUUGCGGUUGAUACGGGUGGGCUGGAGUUCGGUAGGGGAGACUGGAAUUCCUGGUGUAGCGGUGAAAUGCGCAGAUAUCAGGAAGAACACCUAUGGCGAAGGCGGCUCACUGGCUCGAUACUGACGCUGAGGUGCGAAAGCGUGGGGAGCAAACAGG